UUAAGCGACUAAGCGUACACGGUGGAUGCCCUGGCAGUCAGAGGCGAUGAAGGGCGUGCUAAUCUGCGAUAAGCGCCGGUAAGGUGAUAUGAACCGUUAUAACCGGCGAUACCCGAAUGGGGAAACCCAGUGUGACUCGUCACACUAUCAUUAACUGAAUCCAUAGGUUAAUGAGGCGAACCGGGGGAACUGAAACAUCUAAGUACCCCGAGGAAAAGAAAUCAACCGAGAUUCCCCCAGUAGCGGCGAGCGAACGGGGAGGAGCCCAGAGCCUGAAUCAGCAUGUGUGUUAGUGGAAGCGUCUGGAAAGGCGCGCGAUACAGGGUGACAGCCCCGUACACAAAAGCGCAUGUGCUGUGAGCUCGAUGAGUAGGGCGGGACACGUGGUAUCCUGUCUGAAUAUGGGGGGACCAUCCUCCAAGGCUAAAUACUCCUGACUGACCGAUAGUGAACCAGUACCGUGAGGGAAAGGCGAAAAGAACCCCGGCGAGGGGAGUGAAAAAGAACCUGAAACCGUGUACGUACAAGCAGUGGGAGCACCCUUCGGGGUGUGACUGCGUACCUUUUGUAUAAUGGGUCAGCGACUUAUAUUCUGUAGCAAGGUUAACCGAAUAGGGGAGCCGGAGGGAAACCGAGUCUUAAUUGGGCGUUAAGUUGCAGGGUAUAGACCCGAAACCCGGUGAUCUAGCCAUGGGCAGGUUGAAGGUUGGGUAACACUAACUGGAGGACCGAACCGACUAAUGUUGAAAAAUUAGCGGAUGACCUGUGGCUGGGGGUGAAAGGCCAAUCAAACCGGGAGAUAGCUGGUUCUCCCCGAAAGCUAUUUAGGUAGCGCCUCGUGAAUUCAUCUCCGGGGGUAGAGCACUGUUUCGGCUAGGGGGCCAUCCCGGCUUACCAACCCGAUGCAAACUGCGAAUACCGGAGAAUGUUAUCACGGGAGACACACGGCGGGUGCUAACGUCCGUCGUGAAGAGGGAAACAACCCAGACCGCCAGCUAAGGUCCCAAAGUCAUGGUUAAGUGGGAAACGAUGUGGGAAGGCCCAGACAGCCAGGAUGUUGGCUUAGAAGCAGCCAUCAUUUAAAGAAAGCGUAAUAGCUCACUGGUCGAGUCGGCCUGCGCGGAAGAUGUAACGGGGCUAAACCAUGCACCGAAGCUGCGGCAGCGAACGUAUCACCCAAGACAACUUUACGGAGUUGACGAUUGACGGAGCGAAGCGACGUCAAAGCGUUCAUUAAAGUCGAGUUGGCUUAGGGAUACGUUCGUUGGGUAGGGGAGCGUUCUGUAAGCCUGUGAAGGUGGCCUGUGAGGGUUGCUGGAGGUAUCAGAAGUGCGAAUGCUGACAUAAGUAACGAUAAAGCGGGUGAAAAGCCCGCUCGCCGGAAGACCAAGGGUUCCUGUCCAACGUUAAUCGGGGCAGGGUGAGUCGACCCCUAAGGCGAGGCCGAAAGGCGUAGUCGAUGGGAAACGGGUUAAUAUUCCCGUACUUGGUGUUACUGCGAAGGGGGGACGGAGAAGGCUAUGUUGGCCGGGCGACGGUUGUCCCGGUUUAAGCGUGUAGGCUGGUUUUCCAGGCAAAUCCGGAAAAUCAAGGCUGAGGCGUGACGACGAGGCACUACGGUGCUGAAGCAACAAAUGCCCUGCUUCCAGGAAAAGCCUCUAAGCAUCAGGUAACAUCAAAUCGUACCCCAAACCGACACAGGUGGUCAGGUAGAGAAUACCAAGGCGCUUGAGAGAACUCGGGUGAAGGAACUAGGCAAAAUGGUGCCGUAACUUCGGGAGAAGGCACGCUGACACGUAGGUGAAGUGAUUUACUCAUGGAGCUGAAGUCAGUCGAAGAUACCAGCUGGCUGCAACUGUUUAUUAAAAACACAGCACUGUGCAAACACGAAAGUGGACGUAUACGGUGUGACGCCUGCCCGGUGCCGGAAGGUUAAUUGAUGGGGUCAGCGCAAGCGAAGCUCCUGAUCGAAGCCCCGGUAAACGGCGGCCGUAACUAUAACGGUCCUAAGGUAGCGAAAUUCCUUGUCGGGUAAGUUCCGACCUGCACGAAUGGCGUAAUGAUGGCCAGGCUGUCUCCACCCGAGACUCAGUGAAAUUGAACUCGCUGUGAAGAUGCAGUGUACCCGCGGCAAGACGGAAAGACCCCGUGAACCUUUACUAUAGCUUGACACUGAACAUUGAGCCUUGAUGUGUAGGAUAGGUGGGAGGCUUUGAAGCGUGGACGCCAGUCUGCGUGGAGCCGACCUUGAAAUACCACCCUUUAAUGUUUGAUGUUCUAACGUGGACCCGUAAUCCGGGUUGCGGACAGUGUCUGGUGGGUAGUUUGACUGGGGCGGUCUCCUCCUAAAGAGUAACGGAGGAGCACGAAGGUUGGCUAAUCCUGGUCGGACAUCAGGAGGUUAGUGCAAUGGCAUAAGCCAGCUUGACUGCGAGCGUGACGGCGCGAGCAGGUGCGAAAGCAGGUCAUAGUGAUCCGGUGGUUCUGAAUGGAAGGGCCAUCGCUCAACGGAUAAAAGGUACUCCGGGGAUAACAGGCUGAUACCGCCCAAGAGUUCAUAUCGACGGCGGUGUUUGGCACCUCGAUGUCGGCUCAUCACAUCCUGGGGCUGAAGUAGGUCCCAAGGGUAUGGCUGUUCGCCAUUUAAAGUGGUACGCGAGCUGGGUUUAGAACGUCGUGAGACAGUUCGGUCCCUAUCUGCCGUGGGCGCUGGAGAACUGAGGGGGGCUGCUCCUAGUACGAGAGGACCGGAGUGGACGCAUCACUGGUGUUCGGGUUGUCAUGCCAAUGGCACUGCCCGGUAGCUAAAUGCGGAAAAGAUAAGUGCUGAAAGCAUCUAAGCACGAAACUUGCCCCGAGAUGAGUUCUCCCUGAGACUAUAAGUCUCCUGAAGGAACGUUGAAGACGACGACGUUGAUAGGUCGGGUGUGUAAGCGUAGCGAUACGUUGAGCUAACCGGUACUAAUGAACCGUGAGGCUUAACCUU
This 2986-nucleotide ribosomal RNA is filed under the name Salmonella enterica subsp. enterica serovar Dublin. Its description in RNAcentral is "bacterial LSU rRNA". It matches the Rfam family "Bacterial large subunit ribosomal RNA". The record is from RNAcentral. Lineage: Bacteria; Pseudomonadati; Pseudomonadota; Gammaproteobacteria; Enterobacterales; Enterobacteriaceae.